UCAGGAUGAACGCUGGCGGCGUGCUUAACACAUGCAAGUCGAACGAUGAUCCCAGCUUGCUGGGGGAUUAGUGGCGAACGGGUGAGUAACACGUGAGUAACCUGCCCUUGACUCUGGGAUAAGCCUGGGAAACUGGGUCUAAUACCGGAUACGACCAUCUGGCGCAUGUCAUGGUGGUGGAAAGCUUUUGUGGUUUUGGAUGGACUCGCGGCCUAUCAGCUUGUUGGUGGGGUAAUGGCCUACCAAGGCGACGACGGGUAGCCGGCCUGAGAGGGUGACCGGCCACACUGGGACUGAGACACGGCCCAGACUCCUACGGGAGGCAGCAGUGGGGAAUAUUGCACAAUGGGCGCAAGCCUGAUGCAGCGACGCCGCGUGAGGGAUGACGGCCUUCGGGUUGUAAACCUCUUCAGUAGGGAAGAAGCCGUAAGGUGACGGUACCUGCAGAAGAAGCGCCGGCUAACUACGUGCC
This 472-nucleotide ribosomal RNA is filed under the name Paenarthrobacter ilicis. Its description in RNAcentral is "bacterial SSU rRNA". It matches the Rfam family "Bacterial small subunit ribosomal RNA", at positions 24 to 509 of the family's 1533-position model. Lineage: Bacteria; Bacillati; Actinomycetota; Actinomycetes; Micrococcales; Micrococcaceae. The record is from RNAcentral.